GAUGAACGCUGGCGGCGUGCCUAAUACAUGCGAGUCGAGCGAACGGACGAGAAGCUUGCUUCUCUGAUGUUAGCGGCGGACGGGUGAGUAACACGUGGAUAACCUACCUAUAAGACUGGGAUAACUUCGGGAAACCGUAGCUAAUACCGGAUAAUAUUUUGAACCGCAUGGUUCAAAAGUGAAAGACGGUCUUGCUGUCACUUAUAGAUGGAUCCGCGCUGCAUUAGCUAGUUGGUAAGGUAACGGCUUACCAAGGCAACGGUGCAUAGCCGACCUGAGAGGGUGAUCGGCCACCCUGGAACUGAGACACGGUCCAGACUCCUACGGGAGGCAGCAGUAGGGAAUCUUCCGCAAUGGGCGAAAGCCUGACGGAGCAACGCCGCGUGAGUGAUGAAGGUCUUCGGAUCGUAAAACUCUGUUAUUAGAGAAGAACAUAUGUGUAAGUAACUGUGCACAUCUUGACGGUACCUAAUCAGAAAGCCACGGCUAACUACGUG
Molecule: ribosomal RNA, 497 nt
Filed under: uncultured bacterium
Lineage: Bacteria
Description: partial 16S ribosomal RNA
Rfam family: Bacterial small subunit ribosomal RNA
Source: RNAcentral